This 1344-nucleotide ribosomal RNA is filed under the name Triticum aestivum (bread wheat). Its description in RNAcentral is "partial small subunit ribosomal RNA". Lineage: Eukaryota; Viridiplantae; Streptophyta; Magnoliopsida; Poales; Poaceae. The record is from RNAcentral.
AUGGGUAAGGAGAAGACUCACAUCAACAUCGUGGUCAUUGGCCAUGUCGACUCUGGCAAGUCGACCACCACUGGCCAUCUGAUCUACAAGCUUGGAGGUAUCGACAAGCGUGUGAUCGAGAGGUUCGAGAAGGAAGCCGCUGAGAUGAACAAGAGGUCCUUCAAGUACGCCUGGGUGCUUGACAAGCUGAAGGCCGAGCGCGAGAGGGGUAUCACCAUUGAUAUUGCCCUGUGGAAGUUUGAGACCACCAAGUACUACUGCACCGUCAUUGAUGCCCCUGGUCACCGUGACUUCAUCAAGAACAUGAUCACCGGUACCUCCCAGGCUGACUGUGCUGUGCUCAUCAUCGACUCCACCACUGGUGGUUUUGAGGCUGGUAUCUCGAAGGACGGCCAGACCCGUGAGCACGCCCUCCUUGCUUUCACUCUUGGAGUGAAGCAGAUGAUCUGCUGCUGCAACAAGAUGGAUGCCACCACUCCCAAGUACUCGAAGGCCCGUUAUGAGGAAAUCGUCAAGGAAGUCUCUUCGUACCUGAAGAAGGUCGGCUACAACCCUGAGAAGGUUCCCUUCGUUCCCAUCUCUGGGUUUGAGGGUGACAACAUGAUUGAGAGGUCCACCAACCUUGACUGGUACAAGGGCCCUACCCUUCUUGAGGCUCUUGACCAGAUCAAUGAGCCCAAGAGGCCCUCAGACAAGCCCCUGCGUCUUCCCCUUCAGGAUGUUUACAAGAUUGGUGGCAUUGGAACUGUGCCUGUUGGACGCGUUGAGACUGGUGUCAUCAAGCCUGGUAUGGUUGUUACCUUUGGCCCCACUGGUCUGACAACUGAGGUCAAGUCCGUUGAGAUGCACCACGAGUCCCUCCUGGAGGCGCUUCCUGGUGACAAUGUCGGCUUCAACGUGAAGAACGUUGCUGUCAAGGAUCUGAAGCGUGGGUUUGUUGCAUCCAACUCUAAGGAUGACCCUGCCAAGGAGGCAGCCAACUUCACCUCUCAGGUCAUCAUCAUGAACCACCCUGGUCAGAUCGGCAACGGCUACGCCCCAGUGCUGGACUGCCACACCUCCCACAUUGCUGUCAAGUUUGCUGAGCUGGUGACCAAGAUUGACAGGCGAUCUGGUAAGGAGAUUGAGGCUGCGCCCAAGUUCCUGAAGAACGGUGACGCUGGUAUUGUGAAGAUGAUUCCCACCAAGCCCAUGGUUGUGGAGACCUUCGCCACCUACCCACCUCUUGGCCGCUUCGCUGUGCGUGACAUGAGACAAACGGUUGCUGUUGGUGUCAUCAAGGGCGUUGAGAAGAAGGACCCCACCGGCGCCAAGGUUACCAAGGCUGCCAUCAAGAAGAAAUGA